AUGCAGAAGUCCCCAGGCCAGGGACUGAACCCAUGCCACAGCAGUGACAAUGUCAGAUCCUUAACCAUUAGGCCACCAGGUAACUCAACUCCUAAAGUAGCAACUCUUUUGUCUUUUGUCUUUUUUUUUUUUUUAGGGCCGCACCUGAGGCAGAUGGAGGUUCCCAGGCUAGGGGUAGAAUUGGAGCUGAAGCCGCCAGCCUACACCUCAGCCACGCCAGAUCCAAGCCAUGUCUGUAACCUAUACCACAGCUCACGGCAACAUCGGAUCCUUAACCCACUGAGCAAGGCCGGGAUGGGACCCACAUCCUCAUGGAUGCUAUUCAGGUUCGUUAACUGCUGAGCCAUGACAGGAACUUCCUAAAGUAGCAACUUUAAUCUUAGAUUGGGGGUGGCAAAGACAGACCCUGAAAAGCUUCACUAUCUUCCCAGAAAAGGGGACUAAAUUUUUUUUUUACACAUAAUUUUCAGGGAGCUCCCGAGGCAACUUGCGGAAAUAAAUUAUUUCACUGAUGACCUGCUUUUAUGUUCUUUCUCAUUUAAUCCUCAAGCCAAGCCUGUGAGAGUAAAAUUACUAUCAUUUAAUAAGAGUAAGAUACUCUGCACAAGAGUAAGCAGUUUCUAAAUCUUAUUACUUACUAAACACCUAUCUAUGUGUCAGACACUGUUUUAAGCAUUUUUUAAUGUAUUAUCUCAUUUAAUCUUCCCAACAACCCUGUGAAAGAGGAACUAUUAUCAUUCCUAUUUUAGGAAUGAGGAAACUGAAAUAAAAGGCUACCUUCCCAAAAUCAGCAGCUUGUAAGAGAUGAAGCUGGAAUCUGACAGUGUGGCUCCAGAUUUCCUACUUUUUUUAAACCAAUUCUACAUAUAUAAUAUACAACAGUGUCUGUAUUAAUACACUCUAAAAUGCACCUAUUUAAGUGUAUAGUCCUGUGAAUUUUUUCAACUAUACAAUCGAUGUAACUUCUACUCCUCAAAUUUUUUUAAGACUUUUUUUUCCAAGAAGUUUUAGGUUCACAGCAAAGAUGAAAGGAACAUAAAAGAAUGUUAUGGAAUCCCCAAAGCAGGGAGGGGCAGAAAAGAUAUUUGGGAAAGUAAUGGUCAAAAAUUUUCUAAAUUUGAUGAAUACUAUAAAUGCACAAAUCCAAAAAGCUCAACAAACCCCAAACACAAGAAACGAAGAAGUCUAGGACAGAUGAUAAGCAAAUUGCUCAAAACCAGUAAUAAAAUCUUAAAAGCAGAACAAAAAACAUGUGUUACAUUCAGAGGAACAAAGAACAGAAUGACAGAAGAUCUGUCAAAAACAAGGCAAAUAAGAAGACAGUAGACAACGCCUUUUAAGUACUGAAAGAAAAAACUGACAACCUAGGAUUCUAUUCCCAAAGAAUAUUUCAAAAGUAAAGGCAAAAUAAAGAUUUUUUAGACAUUACAAAUGCUGAUAGAAUUCAUCAGCAGCAGACCUGUACUACACGAAAUGUUAGAAGUCCUUCAAAAAUGCCAACAACAUGAACUAAAGUCAAAUGAUCAUCUCAAUAGAUGCAAAUGGUUUCCCUGGAUAAUUCUAUUGAACAUUUAAAGAAUACCAAUUGUAUGCAAUUUAUCUUCCAGAAAAUGAGAGGAAGAAAUACUUCCCAACUCAUUUUACAAAACCAAAGACAGUAGCCCCCACCAAAAAAAUUAAUUCUACACACACACAACACUACAGACCAAUGUCCUUCCCAAAUAUAAACACACAAAUCUUUAACAAAAUUUUAGUAAAUUCAAUAAUAUACAACAUGAGCAUGUGGAGUUUAUUCCUGGGAUGCAAGGCUAGCUCAAUAUUGAAAAAUCAAUAUAACUGACACCACAUUAAUAGGCUAAAGAAGAAAAAUCAUAAUUAUAUCCACUGAUGCAGAAAAAGCAUUUAAAACAAUUCAAAACAUAUUUAUGAUAGGAGCUCCCAUCAUGGCUCAGGGGUAAUGAAUCUGACUAGUAUCCAUGAGGACUCGGGUUUGAUCUGUGGCCUCACUCAGUGGGUUAAGAAUCUGGUGUUGCCAUGAGCUGUGGGGUAGGUCACACACGUGGCUUGGAUCUGGUGUUGCUGUGGCUGUGGCCAACAGCUGCAGCUCCGAUUCUACCCCUAGCCUGGGAACUUCCAUAUGCUGUGGGUACAGCCCUAAAAAGACCAAAAAUAUACAUAUUUUUUUCAUGACUAAAAAAAAAAAAAAAAAAACUCAGAAAACUAGAAACAGAGAUCUUUGUCAACCUAAUAAGAGACCUCUCUGGAAAACCUACAGUUAACAUUAUACUUAAUGGUGAAAGACUAUAUUCCCUCCAGGAUUGGAAAACAAGGCAAGGAUGUCUACCCUCACCAUUUCUCUAUCAUACUAGAGAGCCUAGCCAGGACAAUAAAGAAAGAAAAAGAAACAAAAGGCAUACGGACUGAAAAGGAAAACAAAACAUUGUUCCUAUUCCCAGACAACAUGACUGUCUAUGCAGAAAAGAAUCAGGAAUUGAAAUUGAGAUAAUCUCAUUCUUUAUCUACAAUUUUUCCAUUUCUAACCCAUCUCCUUCUAGGAAUUUUUCCUUACAAUCCUUCCCUAACAGUGUCCAAAGCCAAAACCAUAGAUCUGGAUAGCUAAGGAUAUGAGACUUCAAAAACACAAACUAUAAUGUGAAAAACUGAUGUAUUUGAUUAUAUCAAAUUAAGAAUUUCUGUUCAACAAAGGAAAAUUCUGCUUAAAAUUGAAGUAUUCUAUCCAUUAUUUUUUUCUGUGACUUGGGAGAAAAUAUUCAGCAACAUUCGAUUUUAACAGCAACUCAGAACACCAAAGUUCUACGGGAAUAUACCUUGAAAACUGCUAUUAAUUUAUCCAUGACUAAGAAGAAUGAAGAUACAUAUAUACAACUCCCCUUUAAAAAAAAAAGUGGUGAGGGACCAGGACAGACAUCGGACAGGUUGAGUCAAUUAGAUUCUCUCCCUUAAGAAUCCAGGACUGAGUCACAGGACUAGAGUCAGUUAUAUGACUUGUUCUAGAAUUUAGGUCCACAAGCGGACCAAAAUCAUCUGAGGAAUUUUUUUGAAAAUAGAUUAGAUUCCCAGGUCCCAGAGAUUCUGAUUCAGAGGGUACAAGAUGGGGUCCCAGAAAAAAAUUUAAGUUCCCAAGGUGAUUCUAGGGCAUAACCAGCCAGAUUUAGGACCUGCUUAGUUAAAUAAAAGUGCUUAAAACUCAAAGGUACAUGGCCUAACAAUGAUCCCAAGUAGGAAGAGCCCACUGGGAGGAGGGAGAUAGAAAAUCCAACACAAGAGUCUGUGUGGUCCUCGAGAGACUAAAAGAGCCUAGAGCCUAAGAGACCAACUGUGGAAACUCAGCCACUGGGUGUUCAGGUCCAGACUCUAUGUGACUUGGCAUGGAUGCCUACGCAAGUGUCUGCUAUUUCCUUAAUAUAAGAUCAUUGACAGACAGGAAAACUUUAAAUUUCCUCUAAGAUUUUCAGCUACAGUUGGUCUGCUUACUCGCCCAGGUAAAUAAUAAAAUGCCCAUUUUUAUUUUAGAGUAUCUUUCCUUCCCAUGUAGUCUGCCUGUGAUCUAGAUUUAUUGAUACAUGGCACUUACUCAGAGCCAUAAGAGCUUAUCAAUAUAAGGAAAGGCAUCUUGGAAUAUCUAAGCAGCCCAAAUCCAAGGCCCUUCAGAGAACCUCAAGAUCAAUUGGAGGAACAAAAACCAAUCCAUAGUCUCAGAAAUAACCCUUCAGAGCAAAGUCAACAUUAAAGCCAAGAAAACCCCUUGCUGUUUUAAAAAAGUAUGUAAAGAAGCAUGAUUCCAAAAAUGGUGAAAACUAUCUGCUUGCCCUGGUUCUGGCGAUGAACUGGCUGUGCAAUUUAGCGCAAGAAAUGAGAGACAAUGGUGCACAAAGAGGACUAAAACGUGAGCACAUGUGGACUGGCUGCAACAUAGCUUUAAAGACUUCUCUAGAAUCCAAUUUCCCCACCCGUAAACAUAUCGCUAAGAAUGACCUCUUUCACUUCUGAUAUCUUGUAACUAUCAUUCUAAAUCAGAAAGAUGUGCCAACUGUUUUGCAAAAUGCAAAGUCACAUUUUGGUUGUUAAUGUGAGGUUCAUGGUUUAUGCACCAAAAUAUUGAGUUAAAUAAAUACACAUAAUAAUUUCCCAAGUUCCUGACUUACAAAAGUACUUUGCCCUGAACAUCAAUUUAACAGACACUUAAGUGAAAGUCAUUAGGUCACUUGUCUUAGGCUAGUGAUUUUUAGAGAGUAGUGGAGAUAUAUCUUAGAGGGAAAAGAAGGGACCCACCACAUAGAACUACUUUUUACUGUUUUAGAUGUCUAAAUUUCAAAUAGAUUUCCUCUGACAAAGAGUUCCAUAGCUUUAAAAACAUGGCUCAAAGAGCAUAUACGCAAACAAACAAGAUAGGUGUGUUUAUUGUCCAGCUUACCAGUGAAGAACCUAAGGUACAGAGAGGUUAAAGUACUUCCUGAAGUUAGGCAUGUAGGCAAUGAGGAAGCUGGAACUAGAAGCCAGGCAGUUCAGCUCAAGUCCACAUUCCUAACUACUAUGACCCAGCUCACUAUGCUACAGCUACUACACCAUGAAACAAUUUAGAAAAUAAAGACAAAAAUACAAUGUAAAUCUCCAAAGCUCCCAAAUGCAUACAAAAAUAUAAAGAUACUCAUUAGAAUGACUUGCGAGGCUGUUUCCAAUUCGGCCUUGCCUAGACUCUUCACCUUCCUCUGCCACAACCCCUACCCUAUACAUACACACAACAUUACAGUCACAUUGAGCUUCUGAUCAGGACUGAGUCACCCCCUAUGCCUUGUAUGUGCAUUUACCAUUUACUGAGCUAUUUCCAAAAGACUGAGCACUGGGCAAAACACUUUAUACACCCCCCUCAUUUAUCCACAUAAAAAUAUUGUGAGGUAGGAAGUAUUUCUGAAUUUUACAAAAUAGUCUUAGAGAAAUUAAAUAGCUUACUCAAGGACAAACAUCUUGAGUACAUGAACUCAAAUUCAGGUCUAUUCUUACUUCAAAGGACAUGCUCUUGAACCCAAUUUCCCUGCCUAAAUGUGCUCCAUCCUCAAUGUCCAAUUCCUUCAAGAUGCGUCUACAACAGUGCUUGGCAAGGAGUAAGCAUUUAAGAGAUAAUGAAUGAAUGAAUGAAAUGGCUCCUCUCUGGAGGCUCCUCUGACUCCCUUACAAAACUGUUGCUCUCUUUACACUAUCACAAAACUUGUUUCAAAGUUCUAUUAAAGGCUUCCCAGGUCUUAGUCUAUACUUCUUACUUGUACGUACAUGUUACCCACUAGACUAGGAAUUUUGUUUCACUUCACCUCUAUUCUCAGCCCCCCAGCAAAAGGCCUGGCUUUUAAUAAGCACUGCAUUUGUUAACUGAAUGGAUUUCCUUGAGGAGGAGAAGACAGAUGAGUAGGAGAUUCAUGAUUCAUAUUGAAAUUUCUUCUUCCUUGGGAAAUAAACAAUAUUCAGAGUUAUAAUAUACUCAAAUGAGUUCCCGUGGUGGCGCAGUGGUUAACGAAUCCGACUAGGAACCAUGAGGUUGCGGGUUCAGUCCCUGCCCUUGCUCA
Molecule: long non-coding RNA, 5579 nt
Filed under: Sus scrofa (pig)
Lineage: Eukaryota; Metazoa; Chordata; Mammalia; Artiodactyla; Suidae
Description: lncRNA (ENSSSCG00055028435.1)
Source: RNAcentral